This 739-nucleotide long non-coding RNA is filed under the name Apteryx owenii (little spotted kiwi). RNAcentral describes it as "lncRNA (ENSAOWG00000009126.1)". The record is from RNAcentral. Lineage: Eukaryota; Metazoa; Chordata; Aves; Apterygiformes; Apterygidae.
CCCCACCGUGGUGGCGGUGGUGGUGGUGGGACGCGUGGUGAGGACCUCCCCGCCUGCCGCCUCCUCUGCUCUCUCCCGCAGGGGCUACGGCAGCGUCCGGCGGCGGCCCUCGGGGCUCAGCAAGGAGGACCUGGCCGAGGUGUGCAAGCGCGAGGGCGCCGAGCGGGGCCGGGCGGACGUGGACCGCUUGGUGGGACUGGGCAGCUCCAGCGGCUCCGCCGGCCGGCUGAUGCUCUCCAAGGAGGACAAGGAGGCGGCCAAGUUGGGGCUCUCCGUCUUCACGCAUCAAAAGGCGCCGGGCAGCCCCGAGGCGGCCGGCUCCGGGAGGAAGCAGCGCAAGGAGGAGAAGGCCGAGGAGCGAGGCUUGGAGACCGUCAAGAAACCCAAAAAGGAGAAGAAAAAGAAGAAGAAGAAGAAGAAGAAGCACAAGAAGGAAAAGAAGAAAGACAAGCGGCGCAGGAGAGACGCCUCCGCCUCGUCCUCAUCCUCCUCCUCCUCCUCCUCUCCGGAGCGGGACACGAGGCGCCGGCGGAGGAAACCUGGUGACGUGGACGAUUCCUCCGGCAGCGGCCGCCGCUCGCCCAGCCGGAGCCGCAGCCGGAGCCGGAGCCGGGAUGGCCANNNNNNNNNNNNNNNNNNNNNNNNNCGCCGCGGCAGGAAGAGGAGCCGCAGCCGGUCGCCGCCGCGUCGCCCGCUCGCAGGAGCCGGGGAGCCCAGCGCCCGGCCCCGCAGGUCUUAA